RNAcentral lists this long non-coding RNA (1068 nucleotides) under Lathyrus oleraceus (garden pea). RNAcentral describes it as "Pisum sativum (pea) long non-coding RNA (PSAT_LNC042365)". Lineage: Eukaryota; Viridiplantae; Streptophyta; Magnoliopsida; Fabales; Fabaceae. The record is from RNAcentral.
AAAAAAAACUCUGCAGAAAUCUCAGAAAUAGAACCCUGCCGUCAUUCUCUGAAUCGCGUCUCUCAUACCUAACAGAGAGCACAUCAUUAUUUCAAGAAAGAAACCCUAUCCGAAGUCCACGUUGGAACUCUGCACAAGUCGUGCCUAUCCCGGUAGAAAACCUUCAUCAGGCGGAACAAGCGGGUAAACAGAAGAACAAAAAGAGGAAGGAGAGGACUCAGAAAAAGCGAAAAGUUUCAAACAACGAAGGAGGAAGAAAAGGUACUAACCCGAGGUCCGAUUCCACUUCUCAAGCUCAUCGGAAACGUUGUUUUCAGGUAAAGUUUAUUUUACUUCUUUCUUCACAUUUACAUAUGUUUUUCAUUGUACAAAUACCGCAUCGACCUCAUGAUAAUAUGAUAAACCUGAUUUGAUUGCAUAUGUGAUUGCUUGAUUGUAAGGUCUCGUUUGGUUGUUGGAGUUGUAGUAAGAGUUUCGCCUAUAGUAGAUCUUUGGUCAGUUUGUUUUAGUGAGAUGAUUGCGGGGUUUUCGCUGGUUCAGAAUAUGGAAGGAUUUGGAACAACGAGUUAGAUCUCGUCUUAUUGUUGUGCUUAAAGGUUCUAAGUAAGAGAAUGAAAUGAAGAGCAGAGGAACAAGGGAUAAAGGGUGACGGUUGGGGAAAGAGAAAGAAAGGGUUUUUUAGAUGAGGGCAGACGUUUUGAUUUUCGUUUAUAAUAAAAAUUAUUGAGUUGUUUUUUUCUGUUUUAAAGUUAAGUAUGAUCAUUAACAUGGAUUCUUUUCCCACUACCCCACGUUCGCUGUCUUUUCAUUUCCCCCCUGCAUUAAUGAUCAUUUUUCUCGGUUACCCUGUAAGACCCCAAUUUUGUCCCUAAGAUCCCUCAUGGCAUCAUAACAUUGCAUUGCAUAGCCUCAAGGAUCAUUGAGCAUCUUGGCUCCCUUUCCCUUUGGGUAGGGAUCUCUUGUAAGUGGUUUGAGAUCACCAAGCAUGCUUGAAUUGUAUAUCAUUGCUUUUCUUGUUUUAUUUACUAACUAAAAGCACAAAAAUAUGUCACUAACAUCUUUUGUUAG